AUGGUCACCAGUCUCCUAAGCUGUGUGGUCCUUUAUCUCCUAGGAACAGGCUCCGCAGAGGCUCAAGUCACCCAGACUCCAAGAUAUCUCAUCACAGAGACUGGGAAGAAGUUGAUAAUAAAUUGCUCUCAGAAUAUGAAUCAUGACUCUAUGUUCUGGUAUAGACAAGACUUAGGUCUGGGUCUGAAGCUGAUUUAUUACUCAAUUAAUGUUGAUAUUAUUGAUAAAGGAGAAGUCUCUGAUGGGUAUAUUGUCUCUAGAAAAGAAAAAUCAACUUUUCCUCUGACACUGGAAUCUACCAUAAUCAGCCAGACCUCCUUGUACUUCUGUGCCAGCAGCGAACACAGCACUGCACAGCCAGCUGUUCUCUGA
This is a non-coding RNA of Peromyscus eremicus (cactus mouse), 372 nucleotides long. Lineage: Eukaryota; Metazoa; Chordata; Mammalia; Rodentia; Cricetidae. The record is from the annotation of a RefSeq genome assembly.